RNAcentral lists this ribosomal RNA (1110 nucleotides) under Triticum aestivum (bread wheat). RNAcentral's name for it is "partial small subunit ribosomal RNA". Lineage: Eukaryota; Viridiplantae; Streptophyta; Magnoliopsida; Poales; Poaceae. The record is from RNAcentral.
AUGGCGUCGCACGUCCAAGAAGACGAGAUUACCAUGAGCAGCGAGGAGUUGCUCCAAGCUCAGCUCGAGCUCUACCACCACUGCUUCGUCUACAUCAAGUCCAUGGCGCUCGGCGCGGCCACCGAGCUGCGAAUUGCCGACGCCAUACACCUCAGGGGUGGUGCCACCACCUUGUCUGAUCUUGCCGCCGACACAGGGAUCCACCGGACGAAGGUCUCCCACCUCCAGCGGCUCAUGCGCGUGCUCACCACCUCUGGUGUCUUCUCCGUCGAUGUCCAGGCUAGCGGCGCCACCGUGUACAAGCUCACCAGGGUUUCCGGCCUCCUCGUCGGAGUUGGCGGCGAGAGGCCACGCCGCUGCGACCUGUCCCCUAUCGUGAGCGUGUUGGUCAACCCGGUGCCCGUCACUGCUCUCUUCAGCAUACGCGAGUGGUUCACCGACGGAAAGAGCGCCGCCUCGUCGCUCUUUGAGGUGGCGCAUGGCUGUACACGGUGGGAGAUGAUAGCGAAGGACGCCGGCGAUGACCGCGUGUUCAACGCCGGUCUGGACGCGGACAGCCGCUUCAGUAUGGAGAUCAUUCUAAGAGAGUACAGCGGCGUCUUCGGAUCCGUGCGCAGCUCACUGGUGGACGUCGGUGGUGCCCAUGGCACCGUUGCCGCGGCCAUCGCCAAGGCAUUCCCGCACAUAAAGUGCACCGUGCUGGACCUACCUGUCGUCGUCGCCGGGGCUCCUGCGGAUGACAAUUUGACCUUCAUCGCCGGCGACAUGUUUGAGUACAUCCCACCAGCGGACACCGUUCUACUCAAGUGGAUUUUGCACGAUUGGGCAGACGAAGAUUGCGUCAAGAUACUGCGCCAAUGCAAGAAAGCCAUUCCGACAAGGGACGCCGGAGGGAAGGUGAUAGUCAUGGAUAUGGUGGUCGGAACUGCAGGGUCACAGGAAACCGUGUCCAAGGAGACGGAGGUUUUGUUUGAUGUCUUCAUGAUGUACAUCGACGGGACCCAGCGAGAGGAGCAUCAGUGGAGCAAGAUUUUCUAUGAAGCUGGGUUCAGUGACUACAGGAUUACACCGAUGACUGGAAUUCGCUCAAUUAUUGAAGUCUACCCUUGA